GGACCUUUGGCCGAGUAGUUAAGGCACACGUUGUUUCCCCGCAGGUGAGAGUUCGAAUCUCUCAGGCCA
RNAcentral lists this transfer RNA (69 nucleotides) under Salix viminalis (osier). It matches the Rfam family "tRNA". Rfam says of the family: Transfer RNA (tRNA) molecules are approximately 80 nucleotides in length. Their secondary structure includes four short double-helical elements and three loops (D, anti-codon, and T loops). The record is from RNAcentral. Lineage: Eukaryota; Viridiplantae; Streptophyta; Magnoliopsida; Malpighiales; Salicaceae.